Molecule: non-coding RNA, 17222 nt
Organism: Anas platyrhynchos (mallard)
Lineage: Eukaryota; Metazoa; Chordata; Aves; Anseriformes; Anatidae
Source: RefSeq, a predicted model, not a curated record
AAGGCUGAACCUGAGCAAUGUUACGUAGCCGCCUGACCAAACAUUUCACACUCUGAAUUCUUCCAAGACUCCACAGCAAGUUCUUUCACACCAUUAAUCACAGAGAAGAGCAUCCAAAAGCGUCAGAGGUAAACUGGCAGCAAUUUUGGCAUCCCUUAAUACGCCAGGCUGGGAACUGCACUGCUUCAGCAACAGCUUAGCAAGGGCUUGGUGCCUUCUGGCCAGCCAGCUCGAAGCUGCUCCUCGUUUUGUCAGCUUGUAACGAAGGGCUAACCUGUCUAAGUGGGAUUGUAUUCGGAAAUAAUUGUUCAACAUAUCUCUGUCAAAUUGUGAUUGACUGCUCUUUACCAGCCUGGCUUUUGCAGCCUUUGUUCUCCUGCCCGUGCACCUCUUGACAAAUUUGCUAGCUCUUACCAACAGUGGCUUAAACAGCCUUGCGAUAGGCACCUCGGGAACUUGUACAACCGUAACCACAUUUUCAACCUGCAGGCUUCUCAGCAGACCUGUAAUGUUCAUAGGUUAAAAACAGCUGUGUUAGUACUUACACACAAAAUCUUUGUUUUAAAAAAAAGUCUUUCUGGCCCUUGUCUGAGCAGAAUUGCAGAUGGGAUGUGUAUUAGGAAGCACAGCUCCAGAGGAGCCAACAACCCAACAGCCCAGGAGUGGGUUCGGUUUGGAGUGCUGUACCAUGGCAGCAGUCUGAAAAUUCACUUUUUUGAUGUUUGUCUCAUUUCUUGGGGGUAAGGGCUGACUCUUAGAAGAAAAGGCUGAAUGAAGAAUCAUCUUAUUUUUCCCUGAGCAUUAAUUUUCUGUUAAAUUCUCCUUUUUUUUUUGAUGUAUUGCACAUUUUCCAACCAGAUUAUUUUUGGCCAGUAACAAAAGGUUAAUAAUAGCCAUAAAAAGAAAAUCAAUCUUUGAUUUUUUUUCCACCAAGGUAAUAAAGGAGAAUUUUUAUAAAGGUUCUGGUUUUGCACGUAGGUGUGUUCCCCGAGAAGGCAGACACAUUUUUAUUCUCAACCAUUUAUGAAUUGCAAUAACAUCUCAAGUCUUUGUGAACCAAUGUUUAUUUCUUUUUCAUUUUGACCUUUCCCCUGUGAGAAUUCAUAUCCAGAGAAGGAGCAGAAAGAACUCUGUGAAGAGCAACCUAAAGAAAAAAGGGAGAGGGAAAAACUCUGGCUUCCUAACAGGCCAUAAAUGCUGCGGUGUCUGCUCUUACCCGUUACCAAAAGCUCUGUCAGUUAAUGUCAGGGCUAUAAAGAAGGGUGUAAGGGAAUCUCUGGUGCCUUGAAUCAGUGGCGCAAUUAUUUCAGCCCAACGUGCUCUCAGCAGAGCUUCUCUUCGCAGGCUGCCCCAGCCCGGUGUGCCAACAGCCUCUGCAAUUGCCACCCACUCGAGUUUUUGGGUGCUUUCCCAUCUCAGCACCUAAAUGCAGGCAGUGUAAGAGAGAGAAUAAAUUUCGGGAUUGUGAGGGUGAGAUAGUGAAGGAGAGAGAUCUUACAGACUGAUGUUUAUUUUUUAAAUUACCUGUGUUUUAGCAUGCUUCUAAAAAUCAGUCCAGCAGCCUGACAGAUUUACACCCUUCCAUUACCACCUCAGUACCGCUCAUUCUUGUGGCAUGUUCAAAACAGCUUCAGGUCUUGGAAUCACCACAUGCUGUGCUUCUGGACUGCCACGAUCCUGCACCGUGUUUUUUGGUUUAAAUGGUGGUGAUGCAGUUUCAAAGGGGCGUUUGUGUGAGUGAAUUACCUAAAUCUUUAGAGCCAGAGGCCAUUUCGAAGUGGGUGGUGGUUGGGUGUUUUGGGGCUCUGCUGGAAGUACCCAGCGCUCGGGGAUAGGUCUGAAAACAGCCUCCUGCAAGCUCUGCUUGCUUGAAGUGUGUGCUUUUAGCUGAGCGAUGACGUGGAAGGAAGGGGAGCAUAUCUGUAACCCAGCAGUUACAAAGCAGCUCGGGCAACAUGACUGUAAUAUCAAUUUCUAGCUUUAAAAUAUUUCAAGACAUGAAUAAGUUUUCCUUGCAGAAGGUCAAGCAACAAAGGGAAACCUUUUUCCCCCGUUGAAGCUUCAGUUGUGACAGUUUUUCCUUGCAAUGCGUGCUGUGGAAAAGUGCUCCUGGGGCCGGGUUGGAUGCCUCCAACUCUGGUCUCCUCCUGCUGCUCUGGCACAAAAGCCCCGUGUAAGUGGUCGUCCCGUGCAGGGAGCAUCACAGCUUUCAAGUCUACAAAAUAUGAGUGCUGUUUUAAGAAAGAUGAAGGGCAUCGUGCUCUAAUAAUUGUCCAGUGGGAGGGAAAAUGAUGAAUACUAUCUCAUACCUACAACAUCAAAACAGGAGACUUGCGACUCAUCCUGGUCUUGCUGUGAAGGCACUUUUUUUGCAUUUGUGUGUAAUUUUGUUUUCUGGAAUAAUCCAUGCAUUGACGGUAUGCCUUAGGGUAAGCGUGAGUACCUGUCCUGGAAUGGUUACUCUGCUUACUCUGAGAAAGCUCUUCAACUCGACCUGGCCACGUGGAUGAGUCUUAAACGCUGUUAGCUGCUGGUGGGACCGUGUCACUUGGCGUACAGGGUAAUUAAGGACUACGUCUGAAUCAAUAUUUGGGUUGCUGCUGAGUUAAAAUUGUACCCAAAUAUUUCUGUUUUAUGACUUAAACCACAUCAUCGUGCAGUUCUAUUAAUCAGCUUAUCGAUGUUAUGGAAAUCAUUUGUACAUGUAAAACUGCAGUCUAAUUAUAGUACUUCAGGGUUGAAAAAAGUUAUAACAACAGUUUUUGUUUUAUUUGCUGACCCUUCACGUCCUCAGUACAGGCACAUCACUGUACAGAGACUUCAGAGCUGCUGUCAGUAAGUUUUCCAUGGGUCACCCACAGACCCUCAAGGGUUUGGGGAGGAAACUUGAGAACCAAAGCUGGAAUCUGCCAGGUUAGGAAGUCUGUUGCUGGUAUGUGUGGAUUUUGUUUUACUCGUUCGUGCACACCUGUCAUUUCAGUGAAAGGCAUCGUGUGCCUGUGGCUGCCUGCAGUGAGAGUUGGUUGCUGCUUGGUGCCAAUGCUGAUGUUGCAUCCGCAUCUUGUACUAACUCCCAAGGCAGCACAGCUCUCUGAAGCUUGUUAGCUUGUGAUUUGGAGCUAGCUGGGUUUAAUUUUGCUAUUUUUUCCUCCAAGAGUAGCAAGAGGAGCGUGAUUGCCUCCUUGGCUUGUCUUUUCUCCCAGUCUCCUGCCACAAACAUCUAGCAGACAGCAGCUACCAUCGUCUCCAUUUGCAUGCUAACACCAUGGUGAGUCAGAGAGCUUCUGGAGACCGGGACGUGGGGUGGCUGUCCCCUCGGUCACGUCUUCAUUGGGAAAAAAAAACCUUUUCAAAUGGAGACAAUACAAACAUAAUAAAUGGCAGGGAGGGUUCAUCUCCCUCAUGACUCAAUCCUUCUCAAACAACAUUAUUAUUGACUGGCCUAUUGGUUGCCAAAAAGGAAAAUCAAUUGUACUAGAGGUAGUUGCUGGGCCACAGAUCAUGGGGCUAACCCGGCAGAGACAGGUUGAUUUUUAUCAACUGUGCAAAGACUAAUUUCCACCAUUAGCUAAAAGUGAAGUAGAAAUUAUGGGUAUGUCAAAUAUUGCCAAGAUUGGUGGUCUCUUGGUUUGGUUUUGUUUGUUUAGUUUUCCUGUUUUCCUGCCUGACUCUUGAAAGAUUUUGUGCGCAUAGGGUAAAAACAAGCGAGAAAAAGUCAGACCUCCUUGCCUGCAAGUCACUGCCUGUAUUUUUUAUUUUUCCUUUCAACUACGUUCAUUCUGAUUUCACAGCAAGGAAAUGAAGUGCUUCGGUGUCUGUGUGGGUCUUGUGUUGGAGGCAACAUUUGGAAGUGAAGCCAGUAUCAGCCAGCACACAUCCUCCCUGCCUUCGUGCCUGUGUUUUUCUGUAGGGAGACGUUGAGGAAAUUGGUGUGGGCAUCUUGACGGUUCUUGACGAAGAACCAGAGGUCCCAGGCUGUGCCUGCACAGCUUUCCCCUCCCUGUUGACUAUGUGCCUGUGUCCGUGCAGCCCCCCACCACCUAUCAGAGCAAACACCGCUGUAGGUAAGGUGCCAGCCACCAGAGUACUCUGCUGUUAGGGCCAUUCUCUAAACCUCAUCAGAUUUAAAAAGGAAAAUACCUGAGCCUUGUGCCCUUUUUGUUAAUGGCCCUGGUAUAAAUUUUCCCCUGAAUAUACUAAAAGCUUGGCUCGUAAAGCCAUGAGGACCCUCUCCUGGAUCUGACGAGUGCUGCAGAGGUUUGGCGGCGUUACGCUCGCCGCAAGCAAAUGCCGCUGCAGGUGCUGCUGAAGUGACCAUCGCUGCAGUAGGACGCACGAUGGCAAAUGGAUGAAGAAACUAAACAAAGAUGAAAGGCAAGGCAACGAGUAAUGAGAGCAGAAUUAUUAACCACAGUAGUUUUCUUCCUCCUUUAUAACCCCCCCCCAGUCCCUAUCUCAAUAUUCCUGUAGUCGGCUUUGCCAAGCAGAUCUCAGAAGACUGCAGGCUUACACCCCUUCAGUCCUGACGUUGUUGCCAAUGGGUGUGAAAUCCAUUAGCCAAAAGAAAGGAGAGAUCUGCUUAGUGACAGAGGGUAGCUUUCUACAUUAAAGCAUUGACAUGGUGCCAGUCACACAGUUAUUAGAAGUGGCACCGCUCCAUGUCUCUCCUGUGGGUCUCUCUGUGGAAUGGAGAUUGGCAGCAGGUUGAAUGUUAAAUGGUCACCACUCAGCAGAUGCUGAUUUUACCUACUGGGAGAAAAGUCCCUUUCAGCAGAAGCAUUUGCAAAAUGUUUGCAGCUCUUAAUAUAUGCCGGGGGAUGCGGAGACUCGUCCCUGGUUCGUGCUUCUGAAGACACCUCAGGUCUCAUCAACACGAACUCCAGAUCGUAAGGACACGGAGAUGUUUCCUUCUGCCUGUGCAUGCUGAUUUUUUUUCUUUUUUUUUUUUCGCAUUGUCUCUUCCCAUCUUCCAGCUUGACAUGUACAGCCUUUGUUUCUUCUGCUCCCUGUAGACAUAUGAAUCAUUGCUUCGUUGCUGGUGCAGCAAAGCAGUUGGCACCCUUGCUCCGGCAGCGCGCGUGCAGCACUGCCUGCAAAGCAGCCUCACCAGCCUGCUUCUGUGUGGUUCCAGCAGUGAUUUCAGGAUCCACGCAGUCCUUUCAACCUCUCCGUGCAAAAGCAGCGUUUGAAGAAGUGAAAUCCAGGAGCCUGUCCUGAAAAACUAGCGGCAGUCUGCAUUGUUUUACCCUCAAAGCUGCUUUCAGGGUAAUCAAAAUGCAGGGAUUAAAUCGAGGGCCCAGGGACAGCAGCACAUUUUAGGGAAUUGCUGUGGGAUUGCACCGUUUGUGGGCAUCACCUUGUCCCCAGGGCUCUGCUGUGCAGAGGGAGGCACUCUGCGUGGCCAGUGCUGGUGCAGGAGGAAUGCAGUUUGCCACCAGGCACGGAGUUUUAUCUCGGGCAGGCUCAGGAAGCGUGACCGCGCUCUGCAUCAGGACAGCUUGUGCCUGAUUAGCACAGCUUUGUGCAGUGUGGUGGCUGCAGUCUGCGUGCUCCCAGGAGCCAGGCCAGCAGCAGGUAGCUCUUAGAUGGGUGCAGGUGGCACUCUGUUGCCUGUUAUAUCCUGGUGCAGAGGAGAAACGUGUGUUUUAUUCCUUACUGUCUGUACAUGGCUUUGCAGAUGCAGGAAAUGUCCUUACCUUGAAUUGCCUCCCUGCGAGGACUUGGGAUGGUCCCAAGCCCCAUUGUCCCAGGGUCAUCUUCGAAAUAAGCACCUGCCGUUUCUGAAGUCAUUGUUGGAAAUGCUUUAGCCCCUCAUUAAGGUAUUUGGUGAGCUGCACAAACAGGAUACCAGUGGCAGCCAAGCUGGUUUUGCAGGUGAACACAUCACCACAGGAAUGGUCUGCAGCUUGCUUCAUUUCCUACAUCCCAGGCAUCACUCUCUGUGCCAGGGGAAAAGCCUUUGCCAAGCAGCCAUCUCCUCUGCUCAGGGGAGAUGGUUCCUAGAGAAAACUUGAAGAAGUUUUCCCUGCUUUGGAGGAGCUAAAUCCUGCCACUGGUUUUCUCUGAGGAGUUUUCAAUAUGGGAGAGUCUGGGUUUACUUCCCAAAUGGCAUUUUGUAGUCAGCUGUCGUUGGUUAUCUCUCCCAGUUUGUUUAAAGUAAAAAAAUAAAUAAAUAAAUUCUAGCACAUCACUGGGGCAUGUUGAAUUUUCAGGCUUUGAGGCGAAGAGCUUUUCCUAGUUUUCCUAAUUAAGACUGACUUUAUCCUAACACUUUGGAUGUUGGGACAGUAAUGCUUUGUGCUUUCUUUUUAAAAGAUUUUAAAUAAGAUUUUUACUAAUUUACAGCUGCUGCUUGACUCCAUGGGUCAUAAGUGGCAAACUGGCACUUAAAAUGGCAAAGCUAAUUUAGGUUUCCACCUCUCAACCUCUGUAUCUCAUUUCUGCAUCCAUGAUUAUAGUUGUCAACACAGGACUCUUUCAGUCUCAGUAUCACGUCCCUCACAGCAGGAGGAGUAAAUGCAUAGGGAACAGAACAGGGUAAGCAUAGAGAUAGUUUUAUAUAUUUACCCAAAGCGUGUGGCUUGGAGGCUUCCUAAACCCCUGCUGUUAUCUUUGUGCUCCUAGAUUUUCCUUUGAUAAUUUUCUCUCGUCCCUCUGUGGGUCCCAGCCUUUUAUGCCAGUGGGAGCUCUGUGGUUGAACUCCAGUUGCUUUGCACGUGCCACGGUGAUUUCAUGCGGGAGCCCAUCGUUCUGGUGCAAUGAGGAACAGGAAUUGUUCCCCUGGUUACCUUUUCUGUCCUGCUUUUGGCUUUAUCAGCCUCCUUGAGCCUUCUUGAUCACUUCUUUGUCAGACUGAGAAGUUUAAUUCUAAAUUAAUCUGUUUAAUUGUGCCCUGCUUGGAAGCCGCUCAGUAACUUUGCAUCUCCUUGAAUCAUUUCUAGUUCCUCCAUGGUUUCUUCCAGACAUGCGAGUAGCUCUUCUCCAUGCCCCUGCUCUAAGUGCAAUGUGAAUCUUAAUGAAGCAAUAUAAUGAUGUUUUCUUACUUCCUCUCUUUUUUUUUCUAAUGCCUCCUUUUUGUUUAUUAACUGUUUAUUAAGUGUCCUGUCACUCUGAGAUCUCUUCAUAGCAUUUUACAGUCAGCUUUGCUUAUGCUGCUUUGGAAGAUGUAACAGAGGAUGCUUCACUCUCAGCCUGCUUCCCCUGUUUGCUUCCGUGUUUGCUUUACAACCCAAGCCCUCGCACUGAGCCCUUGGAGUGAUCACCAGCAACUGUGCAAGUUCAUCGCUUAUCCCUAUUCAAUUGUUACCUUUGUAAUCAGUUACCAGUCAGUGCAAGGACCUUCCCUCUUGUUCUCCAGCAGUAGCAUUUAAUAGCCUCUGCGAGGAUGCAUUUGGAAGGCUUUUGGAAAUUCGUGUGGACAGGAACCCCUGGGGUGAGGUGCAGCAGACGGCUCAGCGGUGCUCACCUGCACAGGGAAGCAAAGGCUGGAACCAUUCUCCCUCUGCAUCUCUCCAGGUGGCUGCUUCAUUGCUGGAAAACAGCAAAUCCCACACUGCAGGAACUUUCUGGCUUACCUAACAGACUGGUUGGCUGUCCCAGCUUAAACAUCCCGCGUUUAAAUGAGCCUUCUGUCUCCUGCUACAAGGCUCAGCUUGGCUGAAAUAAAUCAGCCUGUCCUAAGAAGGAUUUCUUACAAAAUGAAGGCCUGAACUUAGAUGAAGGUGGAAGGUGCACUGAGGCUUUCUGCUGUGUUUUCUCAGGUCGGGACCUGGCUUUCUGCAAGCUGUGUUCCAGCCUUUGAAAAAUUGGUAAACUUCCAUCGUCUAAAUCUGUUCCUCCUGUUCCAGCCAAUUAAACAUUAAAAUGAGCAUGACAAAUAAGUGUUCAUUUAUGGGUCAAUAACUCCGUAGUGUGUCUGUGACAUGACUGGCUGAGACAAUCCAUUUCGGUUCCGUCCUGGGCAAGCCGACAUCUUCAAGUCUGUAAUUGCUUUUGUACAGAAGGAGAAGUAAUAAGGAUAAUGUAGCCAUCAGGCCUCAGCUCCCGAGUUCAAAAACUUCCCCUUGCCAAUCACAUUUCUUCGGUAUUCAGCCCAGUUUAGUCUCGUUGCAGAAGCAUUAUUGUGCUGUCAGAAAAUACCCUAAUUGAUAUAUAUGCGUUAUCUCCAGCGUGGGAUGUCACCUCCUUGAAGGCGCUCGGUUUUGUCCACCAGCCAAGUUACCAUCCGUGAGGAGGCCCUAGUGCACGCGCCGUGGCACCAGACAGGGUUGCCUCGUCCCUCUCCUCUCCCCCCACCCAUUAUAUCUAUAUUUUCUCAGCACUAUUAGAUUAUUAAAUGCUUAAUGACUAUUCCAUUCCUGCUAACUCUACUUUUGAUGAGCUGCAGCGAUAAAACUUUGGAACGGCAACGCGUGCGUCUGGUUCCUUUAUAGGAAGGGCACAUUUGGGGAGCUGAAGUAAUGGGGGAUAAAACUCAAUUAAUGAAUAGAAAUAAAAAGAAGUAAAUGAGGUAAUCAAACUCGGAGAAAUUAGUAUUGGCAGGUUCUGAAUGAUGCUUUUGGAUGAACAAUCGUUCAGAAUCCUUCCUUGUAUGCUGCUGCCGUCUCUUUAUUUAUUAUUAAAAUAACAUGAUCCAUGAGGCGCUCGGGGUGACUCCCAGCCUAGCUAAUUCUAAUUAAUCCAGUCAGGGAGAGCAGCAGGGUAAGUGGAGCAGUCUAUCGGAUUGAAAUUCAUAACUUAAUUGAGGUCAAAGUCCCGGGUUGGGAGAACAAAAGUCUUUCGCUGGGACCAGGCAGAUCAAUAGCAAUAAAUAUCUGGCUUGGUUACAAGUAGCUUAUAGUGACGGAUUAUCUGACACUGGGCAGAGGUCUUGGUCUUGUUGAGGGCAAAGUCCUGUGGCAUGCCCAGGGUUGGGUGACUUUCCUCAGUGCUCCCUCCAAAACCCCGAGGAACUCCUACAGGGCUCGUGGGAGCCGCAGAAGAAGGACGCCCGUAACGACGUCCACGUGAGUCGUGCCGAAAUUUGGAUUCGGCUUCUCAAGGUACGGGUGUCUCGGAAGUAGCACAAGGGCACGUGUCACAUUAGUGCUGACGGAGGUUGGAAGAAGUUGCUCAGACUUACAGGAACUUGGAGCUAAAUCACAGCGUGUCCAGAGAAAGGCCUUUAGGAGCGGGGGAGCUGAGCGGUGGAUUGAUGGGCUUUACGCCAAGCCUGUAUUUAUAGCACGUUUACAUUAGAUGAGAGAGGAAAGCUGGAAGAGGGCAGUGUAAAUAACCACUGAGGUAGCUCUGUCGUGGUGGAGAAACCAGCAGAGGCAGGUGUGGGUUCACCUGAUCUUCAGAAACGCAGACACUCUCUGCUCUGACCUCCAAAAUGUUCCCUCUGCAUGGGUUUGUAUCUGGCUGGGACCCCCAGUCCUUAUCCACAGCUCUGCGGUGUGACUUUGAGAGUCACCUGCAGCCCUGGUCCUAGGGAAAGAAGCCAACAGGUCCUACCCUGAGCCCUGAACACCAUACUGUCCACGCAGCCCUGCCUGGUGCUUCUGGAGUACUCAUCAGCAGUAGCAACCUCAGGAGCUUCUCCGAGCUCUUAGCAGGUAGGUGUUUGCCUGGUGCUUGAUAUCGAGAUGCUAUCUUCACCCGGGCCGGUUGUUAUUAAUGCAGUAUUUAUGCAGAUUCAACUGUUCUGCUCGUAUCCUCUGUAGAGGACAAAUCCUGCUGUGGUCAGCAUUUGAUCCGUCUCUGAUGGAUGUUGUUCUGCCAAUGUACUUCAACACCGCUUGGAAGUGAGAUGCAAACCGCAGCUCGGAUGCAGCCAGGGGCUCUUUGACGUUCCCCCUCCUCCCUGUGAGCGCUGCAUCAGCCUAAAGCAUCUCUUAGUGUCCCACUUGCCAAAAACGUUCAAAAGGUCUCUACCCCUCUGCUCUAGGUGAGAUAUCUUGGCUGAUCAGCUUGUAGGCUUACCUUGAUGGUAUUUUGGUGUUCAUAAGUGGUAGGUGCACCCUCACACCUUCCUGAAACUGCCUCCGGAAAACACCUCUUGUUUUCCACUGCAGGACAUUAGCUUCAAAUGCACAAAUGGACAGAGCACAGCGAACAAGGCAGCUGUUCAGUGCGUGUGUAUAACUGCUGUUGAGGUUUCCUCACUGCCUCGUAGCACCUCAGCCUCCUCUCUAGGUCGGUGCUGUCCCUCUCCAAACUGCUGCUGCCCUGGUGAUGCUACCCCGUUCCUUCCCAGCAUAGACCAGGGCAAAACAAAGCUCCUGAGGCUAUUAAAAACUUUAUAAAUGGCAGAAAUCAGUAACAAAACUGCAUUGGCAGCUGUCGUUUUCCCUGUUAUAGUGAAGGGGGAGAUAGUUUGCUGCUUGUCAUCAGCAGUUGUUCAUGUUAUUAAAAAAAAGUAGCGCUGGAUGUCCCAGCCUGCAGCACCCCUGGUGAUUGAGCGAGGAAGUUCCCCUCGUGGUUUAUUAAGAAUUGAGUUCAGGUUUCUAAUUCUCCAGUUUUGCUACAAAAUCCUGCGUGACCUUGAACAAGUCACUUGAUUUCUUUCUGUCUUGGUUUCCCAUUUGGGAAAUGCUGGGGCAAAUAAUUGUUUUUUAUCUCAUGGAUAUAACAAGAUUAUAAAAAUAUGGUAGUUCUAAGACCCUGAGAAAACCGAUCAAAUGAAAUUAAACAGAUCUUGCAGCCCAGACAAAAUGAGAUGAAACAAGCAUGGAACUAUUAGGGAAAGAAAUGUUUCUUUAUCUUCCACAAAUAAAAAUGCAAAGUGAUUAAGUGGGUCUUUUCUAGCUAUUAGCAAUAACAGCUCUAGCCAGCUGACUUUUGCCACCCUUGAAAAUUAAUUUGCGGGGUACAGUCCUGAAUUUAGUGUGCUUACAAUAAAUACCCCUAAAAAUGUUGUCACCUCCUGCAGUGCAGGGUGUAACUGCUGUGAUAGUACUGCAAUUACUUGCCCUGCAAAUAAAAAGUGGCUGCUCUAAAUGAGAUGCUCUAACACGAUGGUUUGCAAAUUUCUUUUAAUUGAUUUUUUUUCCCCUACGAUAUUUCCUUCCUUAGUUAUACAUAUAUUUUUAUAUGUAUUUUAUAUAUAUAAUUAUUUUUAUUUUUAUCCAGGCUGGUUUCAGAGGUCUGAUUCACAGCAUGUAUGCAUCCCAGCCAGCUCCAGGUGAGGGGUGGCAGGGCGAUGGACCAGGUGGCUGGAGGUGGCCUUAUCCCCAGCAGCUUCUCCUCCUGCCAUGCAGCUACACACCAGAGAUCACCGCACGUCCCUGCUGCUGGGAGAGGCUGGGCACGUUCCCGUACGAGCUUGGUGUGUGCAGGAGAUGAUGGAGAGGAGGAAAGCCCCAGCUCUGGAGCCAUUUUCCUUCCCCGGCUCGGUGAACAGAUGAGAAAUGUCACCCUUUCAGCAGGGCCCUCAAAACGAGGUAGUGAUUAAUGAACAAAACGGGAUAGGGUAGGGAAGGAGCUGCGAGUGGCUGACUUUCUGCAGCACGGAGGGAAGAUGAGAAGCGUUUCAGAAAGCACUAGGCUGCAGCGUGCUACGGAAAAAGCCUGUUUUAAUCACAGUCACACCGUGCAAAUGACAUCUGAGUCUGAAGCCAGAUCCGCAGAAGCUGCCCGCUAGCCUUCUCCGCGAUGCCCUAUUCCCGAUGCUAUUGUCAGGGUAUUUCCGAGCGAUGCUCACAGAUUACACGGCAAUUUGGCUUCCGAAGUGGUGUGAAAUUGAGCAUUGCAGUCUAAAUUCCGCUGGUCAAACCCAGAAGAGGUUUGUAAAGUUAUGGCUCAGCAAUUGCAGGUGAUCGAUUUUUCAUAGCUUGAUAACCGAGCGCUCGGGUUUUGUAUGACAGGAGGUGAUCGCGGGCACCCUCACCUCCGGUCCUAAUUGCAAAGUAACGAGGUUAAUGCGGACCGUGAAGGCAGUUUCGAUCUGGAUAUUUCACAGCAGCAGAAAAACUCAGAGCUCUGGUGACUUCUGCUCAUCAAUUUUUCUUCUCGGAUGGAAAAGUGAAGCGUAGAGGUGGUCAGCUUGCAAUCAUCAGCUGGUAGGAAGCAGCUUGCUAAGCCACAGGAGCCCAGCGGCUUGGGAAGAAGUCUCAAACUGAAGAAGAUGCAAACUGGAGUGUACCACGGGAAGCAUUCAUUUUGACCUGUUUUAGAUUAUCUUUUUUUUUUUUCCCCUUUUUGCCAGGUGUUCCUCUUGUGCACGGAUAAAUUACGACACGAAACAGCUCUCUGAAUUUACCUAGGAACAACUACACAGUCAGAAACUCUUAGAUUUUAUUUUGUCAGGCGGAAAAAGGAAAGCACAACUUGAAUCGAAAAGAAAAACUUAUCUUGCUUUUAAAAUAUUUACAAAAAAAGGCAAGUUUUCACUGCUGUGCCCAGUUCCUCUACGUCUGCAUGUGAGCAGGGCACACCGGUAGAGCAGCACAUGGAGAGCGAUGGGCUCGGUGUUGCCCUGAGCUGUUCUAGCUGAUUUUUAUGGCUGAAGCUGGCAUGAAUGCCACUUGAGGCAUCAGGCGAGAAGCAAAGGCUGUCCCUUUCCCCAGAAGCUCUUCUUGGCAUCAGAUGCAGAGCGACAGGUAGUGCAAAUGGAAAGGCUGAGGGAAUGGAAAUAAGGGAGAACAAACCAGAGACCAGCACAGGAAUAGGAAUUGUGGCUCAGCAUUUCCCCAGGCGGUGACACAGAGGGGCACGGCGGAGGUACUCUGCCUCUGGGGAUUUAGAAGAUGGCAAGGGGUCAUUCCCGAGGACUUCUGAUGAAGGACAAACACGUGAAUCCCCUACUGAAAUCAAUGGGGCUUUUAUCUGCGUGCAUCUCGGGGCUGAACGUGUCCCUUUCUGCAACCAGAAAAAAAAAUAAACCUACAAGUGUGGCUUUCUGUCAUGUCCAUUGGGAGAUGAAUUCAGUGACGGGGAAGAAAUGGGAGACUUUUCAUAGAGGGAAAGAGAAAAUUGAUUAAUUUGCAUAGGAAUGUAUCACAGCUGUACCCCAUGCAGGAAACGGUCCCUCUCGGGACAGGGUGGUUUGAAACCAGCCAGCCGGCUGCAGAAUUAAGUCUGAUCUGAGCAGAGAGUGGCACUGAUGGUGGCACCGCGUUCCUGGAGGGACGGUGCCCUGCUGCUGACAGCACCUGGUGCUAUCUCCGGGGUGUCAUCUUCCAUUCACACGCCGGAGUGUGCUGCUUCCAACCUGCGGAUGCCACAGCGAUAUUCCCCAGCUGGGGAAUUGCCAUCUAGAUCUGCCAACUGCAACCUGUUUUAUCUGAUGUAGCCGCUUGUUAGCUCCUACAUCAUCAAAUAGCAUAGAAACAUCCAACUCGGUGCUUCUCAAUCAUUUUAUCCUUGAGACCUUUAUUUUGUAGCUGGUGCUGUGUUUCCAUGAGUUGAUUGUGUUUGUAUCCUGUGAAUCUGGAGCUGUAGCUAGUCAAGGAUGGUCCAGGAGGUGAGCAAGUACCUGUAAGAUAGCCAUGGAUGGUCCAGGAGGUGAGCAGAUACCUGUAAGGUUGUGUCCUGGGUGCCCAGUGUGCUUUUAGCAACACUCUGCCAGCAGAUCAGUGGUUCCUUUAUCGUGGUUGCUUUCAAGGCACUAGGCGAGAACGAUUUCUGCAGCUCUGGAGAAGCAACAAGGUAGAUAAAAAAAAAAAAAAAAAGGAGAAAUUUGCUAUGUUUUGGUCAUGAAACAAAUUUUCUGCAAAAUGGGAGUUCUGGUUAUUGCUGCUGCCCUGGUUAUAGCGCUGGGGAGCAGCAAGGUGCGGCGUUGCCCUCCCUCGUGCACGCCGGUACCUGGGAAAAAGAGAGAGUAAGGCAGUCAUUCUUUAAUCUUGAGCACUGAGGGUUCGUUUUGCUGCAAAAAAAAAAUCCUAAGUGUUUUAGAGCAAGAUUCAAACGGCCUCAAAAAGGCAUCAGUUAAACCUGCCCGCGCUGUGAUCGCCAACGAGCGGAUCUUUCAGCUGGCGGCGCGUUCCCUGGGGGUUCACAUUAUUAAUAUCUGCCUUAUGACAAGGUGCCUGUGCUGAUGCCAGGUUUUUUUCCCAGGCAGCAUGAUUAAUUUUUUUUCCCCUUUCUUAAUAUCUCAGAGCCAGAUGCUUCUCAAUGUCCUCACAGGGGUGUAUUGCUGUUCUUAAGCGCUCCUCCUUCUCCCCCACCCCUUUGCAACUAAUUCAUAUAAUGGCCCCGGAGAUGUGUUUUGUAGAGCCACAAAAAAAAAAGCAAAACUUUGAAAGCAUCCCGAGAUGAUGGACUUGACAUGUGCAAAUCUGUCCUCCUGACGUUCCUGGUGGGUUUGCCGUUUCGGGGCGUGCUUCUUUGCCUAGCACUUUGCAAAUUGUGUACACGCAGAAGUGCUGAAGGCAGAUAUUCUGCUGGGGAGAACGAGCGGCAGCGGGGUGUUGAGCUGGCAUCUUGGAGAGAGCAAAGGAAGGCUUGGCUGAGGAAGAGGAGCACGUGGUAGCUCUAGGAAGCGCCCUGGGUCUUCAAGCAUUGGUUAAUUUAAAGACUUCAAGACUUUGCAGUACUAAAAAAGGUCUUUAUUGUGUAAAAAGAGAAGAAAUUAAUUCUCUGCUGGAAUUCUUGUGCAAAAGUGCAGCUGCACAGGCUUGGGUUUUUCCAGCCUGGACAUCAGAUGUCCUUCCUUAGCCAGCUGUGCAGGAAUGGUUUGUCCAAGAAGCUCCUCCUUCUGCCAUGUCCAUCCAGCAGUUUCCUCCGGGUAAGGGAUUCCCACAACUCCUGCAUUGAUCCUCGCCUGCUUUGAGACAUUCCUGCACUCACCUGGACUUCAGGGAAGGUUUCCUGGGGGAAGCAAUGCCCCAAAUCCCAGAAACAGAAUAGUUAAUGGUGGAUAGGUUAAGAGACAGAUAAAAUUUGCCAGUGCAAGCAGGAGAAUUGAGUCCUUCCUCUCGGUCUCCCUUAGUUUUGGUGCAAGAGGAGGCUGGCAGGAGGGCAGCAGGACAUUGGGAGCACUCCCUCCCGCAGCAGGUCACCUCGCUGUGUGUCUGGCACCGGCAGGCAGAAUGGGAAUUAAGUCAAAAUUAACCUCAGUUGGGAAACCCCCUAGCCCUGCUUUAUUUGGCCAUUUAAUUGAAUUAACGAUGCCGUGUAAGCGUGCUGACCCCCAGAUGUAAAUUGCUCCUCCCUCCCCAUUUCCCUCCUUCAUUCCCUCACGCUAACGGAGCCGGUGGGGAUGUGACUGCAGAGAGAGGGAGAAAAAGAGGGAAAAAGGCUGGAAAUAAAAGGAAAAAAACUCCAGCCUCAUGCAAACCUUCCCCUUCAGUGUCACAGCUGCGCUCACCGUGUUGUGAUCUUUGGUGCCGCUAAGCUGAUUGCGCCCGCUGAGGGGUUCAGCCACCUAAUCCCAUGGUGCUGCAACUGGUUGCUUUCUAUUUAAGCACAAUUUGUAUUUUUUUUCCGGAGAACUAAAAGUCAGUUUGGCUUCAGUGGACUCUCGAAGUGGGUCAGGCUGUUACGGGGACCCACUUUUUGACGUUUGCUCGGUUAAUACAGGAAAAUAGGACGCAUUAGUGGGCUCCGCGUCCUAAUGGAUGCUCUCGGGCUGGGAGAGGUCUGUGCAUGCAUUAGGGCUCACAGCUUCUGGCGUGGUUUGGGAGGGAUGGAUUCAGGAGGGAUGGAUUCGGGAGGGAUGGAUUCGGGAGGUGCUGUGCUGCCACUUGGAUGCCGCAGAAAUUUUGGUUUUGCUUGCAUGGACAAGCCACGCCGGCACCGGCUGUGCGUCUAAAAGGGGCUCUAAUGGGAGAUGCCAAUAGGUUCGAUUGAUUUCAUUAAUUUAAUAGUCAAUUUAAAUCCAGUUCUCAGUUACUUUUCCAAGGAAGGGUUGAUUCCCAUUUGUUAACAACUAUUAAAACAUGUUCAUUUGCAACUAGAUGUAGCCUUCAUGGUAAAUUCAGUUCUCUUGCUAACCAGAUACACAACAUCUGUGCGUGUUUAUUUAAUUUAACUCAGAGCAUUUUAACCUACUUCAUUCACACUCUUAAUUUUUAGGUGCAUGUGAAUUGAAGUUAGAAUUUCAUUGAAAAGCCUUUUCACUUUUCAAAUUCUCCUUAAAAAUAAAUUGAAAUCUCACCAGAAGUAUGGCGAUGGGGCUUGGUUUUGGAAGGGGGAAAAUAAACAGAAUUGUAUUUGUGUUUGUGAAUGGCACAUUUAGGAAAGGAGAUGUUUACUACCAGAAUGUGUCAGAAACCCUUCCUGCCCAAGUUUUGUUAACAAAAUCAAGGAUUUUAGGAGCAAAAUGAAGGAGUGACUGAAGAUUAGCUUAGGUUUCAGUUCGGCUCUUAACCAUUCUUAAGACCUAGUAGGUCCAUUGCCUCCUACUUCAUUUUUAUCCAGAAAUAGUCCAAAGCUGGUCUAAUACCUCAAAAGAGUUGUUACAGGAGUUUAUCGUGUGACUUACCUGGUGAUUUUCUUCAGAUAGCAGGCAUCAGAUGCAUGCUGCUUGAAAACAUACGUUAUUUUUCAUUAACUGCAGUGAUUUUAUGGGAUUGUAUUCUGCUCGAGCCAUCACUUAGGAUAACCUGAUUUCAAAUAUAUUAUUGAAGUAUUUUUAUUUUAGCAGAAAAAAAAUAAUUUUAUGCCUUUCAAGCACUAAACAAUGUUAGUUUUAUUUGGUAGGAGGUUCUAAAAAAAGAUUUUUUUUCAUGAUUCCAAGUACAACUUUUCUUGUACAACUCUAAAGCCCCAUUAAAACUGGUAGAACACAUUAUUUCAAUUCCUUCUCGUCGUUAAGGCUUGUUUAAUUGGACAAAAUCUGUAAAGCUGCUCAAUAAAAGUGGGACAAGACUGAAGAUAACACAGGAGGUGUGCACAAGGAUGCUAACCCACUUGUGGGGGUCUAGCUGGCAGCUGGGACAGUUCCAGUUCACACCUUGUGCUUUUCAGGUUUGGGCUCUUGCUUAUUUUUGUCUCCCCAGAUUACGGAAUGAAGGCAAGGUUCUCACUAAUGGAGGCUUACGCGUGGGCAGAUCUUAUUAGGAGAGGGAAGACCUAGCGUGGAAAAGGACAGCACGUCCUGCUAGUCAGAGCGUGGGGAGCUCAGCAUCCUGAAACUAAUCCUGGCUGUGGGCUGCGCUCCUUGUUUGACCUUGAGUAAAUCAGACAGGCAGGUUUUUUCUUCUGCGUGUGUCUCGGUUUCUGUAACUGUAACAUGGGAGCAUUAUGUGCGUAUAUCCCUGGGUCUUGCCUAGAUUAAUAAAUCAAUAUUUGUAAAGUAA